This 253-nucleotide ribosomal RNA is filed under the name uncultured bacterium. Its description in RNAcentral is "partial 16S ribosomal RNA". It matches the Rfam family "Bacterial small subunit ribosomal RNA", at positions 524 to 776 of the family's 1533-position model. The record is from RNAcentral.
UACGAAGGGGGCGAGCGUUGUUCGGAUUUACUGGGCGUAAAGGGCGUGUAGGCGGUCGGCCAAGUCUGGUGUGAAAGCCCGGGGCUCAGCUCCGGAAGUGCGCCGGAAACUAGCUGGCUGGAGCGCGGUAGAGGAGGGUGGAAUUCCUGGUGUAGCGGUGAAAUGCGUAGAUAUCAGGAGGAACACCGGCGGCGAAGGCGGCCCUCUGGACCGUUGCUGACGCUGAGACGCGAAAGCGUGGGGAGCAAACAGG